RNAcentral lists this ribosomal RNA (497 nucleotides) under uncultured bacterium. RNAcentral describes it as "partial 16S ribosomal RNA". It matches the Rfam family "Bacterial small subunit ribosomal RNA", at positions 28 to 507 of the family's 1533-position model. The record is from RNAcentral.
GACGAACGCUGGCGGCGUGCCUAAUACAUGCAAGUUGAGCGCUGAAGGUUGGUACUUGUACCAACUGGAUGAGCAGCGAACGGGUGAGUAACGCGUGGGGAAUCUGCCUUUGAGCGGGGGACAACAUUUGGAAACGAAUGCUAAUACCGCAUAAAACCUUUAAACACAAGUUUUAAGUUUGAAAGAUGCAAUUGCAUCACUCAAAGAUGAUCCCGCGUUGUAUUAGCUAGUUGGGGAGGUAAAGGCCCGCCAAGGCGAUGAUACAUAGCCGAGCUGGAGAGGAGGACGGCCAACUCGGGACUGAGACCAGGCUCAAGAUCCCACGGGGAGCCGCAGGAGGGAAACAUUGGAAAUGGACGGAAGUCUGGCCGAACAACGACGCGUGAGUGAAGAAGGUUUUCCGAGCGUAAAACUCUGUUUGUAGAGAAAAAAGAGGGUGAGAGUGGAAAGCUCAUGAAGUGACGGUAACUACCCAGAAAGGGACGGCUAACUACGUG